This is a long non-coding RNA of Chelonia mydas (Green sea turtle), 1453 nucleotides long. RefSeq lists it as uncharacterized. Lineage: Eukaryota; Metazoa; Chordata; Testudines; Cheloniidae. The record is from RefSeq and is a predicted model, not a curated record. The transcript is spliced from 4 exons.
GGUGUUUGGCGGAUCCUCGGCGGUGCAUCCCCCGCCCCGGAAAAGCGGCAAACAAAAGGCAGCGGCAGCAAGGAGAGAAAUAGCUGGACGCGCCAGCCCCCAGACUCCCGGGCACGCUGCCGUUACGGGAGACGAGACCACAAACGCCUUGCUAGCUACAGCUCCCCACCAGCAAAUAGCGAGGGCCCCGAGUAGCUGGUUUCCAGGGCACGCAAAGCGAGCUUGCAAACUAUGAGCAACUCGGGGAGUCUUAAAAAAAAAAAAGCCCCGCAUGCCUCCCCGAAAGGGAAGCCUGGAGCUUCAUCUCAGGGGCAGCAGCAGCAGCUCCCACCCGGGGAAAAAAAAUUUGCUCUCAUAACCCGCACAGCCCCGCUUUAUUGUUUUAACUUACUCCGGCCCUGCGUUUGCAGCGCCCACGCCAGCAAGGAUCCCGAUCCAGCUGCGGCAGGGACGAGCGGCCCGGGCGCUGGCGGGAAAAUAAAAGGAGCCCCCACCUUGGGCUGCUUGAGUGACACCGGGGAGCGGCCAGUGAGGGCGCCGGGAGCCUGCGGCAAGGCGAGGCGUCAACGUCCCCGACUGGAAGGGACUCCGCCCCGGCCCCACAUAUAGGGGCGGGGGUAUCACGCUACCUCCCCCCCCCCACUGCCGCGCCCACUCCGGGCCCCAGGGGAAUUAGCACCGCCCAUAACAAGAAGAGUAUUGCAGGCGACUCUGGAGCCCCAAGGUCUUGCAAACGUCCCUUAGCUGCAUCCUGCGUGGAAUGGCUGAGCUGAUUCCCCCCAGGUGUGUGCGUGUGUGUGUCUGCAGCUGUGCCAGGCUCCCACCUAUCCCGGCCGCCACGCGCGGAAGUAUCCGCCGAAACCCGAUACAACGGAACCUGCUGGCAAGCCUCUGAGCCGCGAUUGGUGCGACGGGGUUCCUCUGGCGCCGCCCCGGCGCAACAGCCAGUCUCGAUUGGCUGCCAGCUGGUGUCAAUCCGGCACACUCAAUGGAGUCCCGUUUCAGGGUUGGAACUCCGAAAAAACGGAUUAACUCCUCUGAUGAACAAGUGGUGAAAGAGUUGUUCUUUGAACUGAAGAGAAACCUGGGAAUUAAAUGAAUCUGCCCGAAGCAGGUGCCCAGACACGUCUGCGAGUCAGCCUCGGGUUAGAACGCUUUUCAACAAAAGAAGAGCCCAGCGGUAAUUAGCGCUCAGUUCUUGGUAAUCAAACCCACACCUUCGGACCCUAACACUUUCGAUAGACUUACAGUCGCUACCGAUGAGGCACGCACGUUGGUUGACACAGUGUACGGAGGGAAAUUCAGCAGAAAAUAGCCCUUAAAGUCCGUGUCUUGUCAUUGGCCCUUCUCCUCUCUGAUUCGUCUUCAGUCUCCUCGGUUGUACGCAAUGGCGGGGGGGGAGGGGGGGGGGAGGAAAUGUUCAUAGAUUCCCCCCUCCCCCAACAGUGAAAUG